Molecule: long non-coding RNA, 529 nt
Filed under: Malus domestica (apple)
Lineage: Eukaryota; Viridiplantae; Streptophyta; Magnoliopsida; Rosales; Rosaceae
Description: long non-coding RNA (MDOM_LNC001863)
Source: RNAcentral
AACGGACAAUAUCGUGCUAUGGCGGAGUCGAGCCCAGGAUGUGGUGAGGGCUAAGACCAGGAUGUGACAGCCAUAGUAGAUGAAAAACUUCCAAAGCACAUUAAAAAAAUUCAUAUAAUUAUUUUUUAAGUGUGGAGAAUGUGAAAAAAUAUGCAAACGCUCAUGAUCGCAUUCAUAAUGCUUUGACGAUAGGUAUAUCGUCGUUUGAAUUUUUAAAACUCUACAAACCCCCAUGAAUAGUAUUUUUAGAGGGAGUUCAAAAUAAAUAAAAGGGUAAAUUACAUUUUACCCCCUCAGAUUUGGGGUCGAUUGCAACUGCAUACAAUAUCUUUAAAACAUUUCAAUUUCAUACAUUUACUUAUCAUUUUAUUUCAAUUUCAUACAUCUAUUAGAAAAUCUAUUAAGUAAACAGUUAAGUGAUGAUGUGGCAAAUAUGGGGUCCUCAUUUGUGCUGACGUAGCUGCCAAACAUGUGCCAUGCGGCAAAAAAAAAAUUCUACGCAUUUUAAAAUAAUAAUUUAAUCAAAAUA